GUCCUCAUCCAUAAAGUAACUAACCUUGGUAGGUUUAGUCAGUGUCCUCAUCCAUAAAGUAACUAACCUUGGUAGGUUUAGUCAGUGUCCUCAUCCAUAAAGUAACUAACCUUGGUAGGUUUAGUCAGUGUCAUAACCAGCCGUAAAGUAACGCAACAGUGUGUCAUAACAGUGUUAUAACCAUAUUAUAACAGGUUAUGUCAGCUAUUAUUAUUAUUAUGACAGGUUAUAACAGGUUAUGUCAGCUAUUAUUAUUAUUAUGACAGGUUAUAACAGGUUAUGUCAGCUAUUAUUAUUAUUAUGACAGGUUAUAACAGGUUAUGUCAGCUAUUAUUAUUAUUAUGACAGGUUAUAACAGGUUAUGUCAGCUAUUAUUAUUAUUAUGACAGGUUAUAACAGGUUAUGUCAGCUAUUAUUAUUAUUAUGACAGGUUAUAACAGGUUAUGUCAGCUAUUAUUAUUAUUAUGACAGGUUAUAACAGGUUAUGUCAGCUAUUAUUAUUAUUAUGACAGGUUAUAACAGGUUAUGUCAGCUAUUAUUAUUAUUAUGACAGGUUAUAACAGGUUAUGUCAGCUAUUAUUAUUAUUAUGACAGGUUAUAACAGGUUAUGUCAGCUAUUAUUAUUAUUAUGACAGGUUAUAACAGGUUAUGUCAGCUAUUAUUAUUAUUAUGACAGGUUAUAACAGGUUAUGUCAGCUAUUAUUAUUAUUAUGACAGGUUAUAACAGGUUAUGUCAGCUAUUAUUAUUAUUAUGACAGGUUAUAACAGGUUAUGUCAGCUAUUAUUAUUAUUAUGACAGGUUAUAACAGGUUAUGUCAGCUAUUAUUAUUAUUAUGACAGGUUAUAACAGGUUAUGUCAGCUAUUAUUAUUAUUAUGACAGGUUAUAACAGGUUAUGUCAGCUAUUAUUAUUAUUAUUAUGACAGGUUAUAACAGGUUAUGUCAGCUAUUAUUAUUAUUAUGACAGGUUAUGACAGGUUAUAACAGGUUAUGUCAGCUAUUAUUAUUAUUAUGACAGGUUAUGACAGGUUAUAACAGGUUAUGUCAGCUAUUAUUAUUAUUAUGACAGGUUAUGACAGGUUAUAACAGGUUAUGUCAGCUAUUAUUAUUAUUAUGACAGGUUAUAACAGGUUAUGUCAGCUAUUAUUAUUAUUAUGACAGGUUAUAACAGGUUAUGUCAGCUAUUAUUAUUAUUAUGA
Long non-coding RNA from Oncorhynchus keta (chum salmon), 1198 nucleotides. RefSeq lists it as uncharacterized. The transcript has 4 exons. Lineage: Eukaryota; Metazoa; Chordata; Actinopteri; Salmoniformes; Salmonidae. The record is from RefSeq and is a predicted model, not a curated record.